UACGAAGGGGGCUAGCGUUGUUCGGAAUUACUGGGCGUAAAGCGCACGUAGGCGGACAUUUAAGUCAGGGGUGAAAUCCCGGGGCUCAACCCCGGAACGGCCUUUGAUACUGGGUGUCUUGAGUUCGGAAGAGGUGAGUGGAAUUGCGAGUGUAGAGGUGAAAUUCGUAGGUAUUCGCAGGAACACCAGUGGCGAAGGCGGCUCACUGGUCCGAUACUGACGCUGAGGUGCGAAAGCGUGGGGGAGCAAACAGG
This 254-nucleotide ribosomal RNA is filed under the name uncultured bacterium. Its description in RNAcentral is "partial 16S ribosomal RNA". It matches the Rfam family "Bacterial small subunit ribosomal RNA", at positions 524 to 776 of the family's 1533-position model. The record is from RNAcentral.